CUAUGCGCCUUGCCAGCCCGCUCAGGUGUGCCAGCCGCCGCGGUAAUACGGAGGAUGCGAGCGUUAUCCGGAUUUAUUGGGUUUAAAGGGUGCGUAGGUGGUUAAUUAAGUCAGCGGUGAAAGUUUGUGGCUCAACCAUAAAAUUGCCGUUGAAACUGGUUGACUUGAGUAUAUUUGAGGUAGGCGGAAUGCGUGGUGUAGCGGUGAAAUGCAUAGAUAUCACGCAGAACUCCGAUUGCGAAGGCAGCUUACUAAACUAUAGCUGACACUGAAGCACGAAAGCGUGGGGACCAAACAGG
This 299-nucleotide ribosomal RNA is filed under the name uncultured bacterium. Its description in RNAcentral is "partial 16S ribosomal RNA". It matches the Rfam family "Bacterial small subunit ribosomal RNA", at positions 475 to 776 of the family's 1533-position model. The record is from RNAcentral.